CGUAUAUGAGGCGAUGCUGAUCAGCCAUGCCGCGUGUGUGAAGAAGGUCUUCGGAUUGUAAAGCACUUUAAGUUGGGAGGAAGGGCAGUAAGUUAAUACCUUGCUGUUUUGACGUUACCAACAGAAUAAGCACCGGCUAACUUCGUGCCAGCAGCCGCGGUAAU
This 164-nucleotide ribosomal RNA is filed under the name uncultured freshwater bacterium. RNAcentral describes it as "partial 16S ribosomal RNA". It matches the Rfam family "Bacterial small subunit ribosomal RNA", at positions 358 to 524 of the family's 1533-position model. The record is from RNAcentral.